UACGGGGGGGGCAAGCGUUGUUCGGAAUUACUGGGCGUAAAGGGCUCGUAGGCGGCCAACUAAGUCAGACGUGAAAUCCCUCGGCUUAACCGGGGAACUGCAUCUGAUACUGGAUGACUUGAGUUCGGGAGAGGGAUGCGGAAUUCCAGGUGUAGCGGUGAAAUGCGUAGAUAUCUGGAGGAACACCGGUGGCGAAGGCGGCAUCCUGGACCGACACUGACGCUGAGGAGCGAAAGCCAGGGGAGCAAACGGG
RNAcentral lists this ribosomal RNA (253 nucleotides) under uncultured bacterium. RNAcentral's name for it is "partial 16S ribosomal RNA". It matches the Rfam family "Bacterial small subunit ribosomal RNA", at positions 524 to 776 of the family's 1533-position model. The record is from RNAcentral.